GCAAGAAAAACUCGAGCAUCCCUGCCGCAGUAGAGGAGAAAGUUACAAAGGAGUAGAGACACAGUUUACAGGACCUCAUUCGCACUCCAAUGACAAUGAAAGGAAGGGGGUGUUGGGCAGAGAAGCAAAGAGCUCCGGUUCUCACCAUCACAUGGUAGCGGGUGUAAGUUUGUUCCCAACAUACCAGACAGAGAGCAACUCUCACCAGAGAAGAUCCCAAUGUGUUUUAUGCUAGAUCUGACUUUAAUUAAGUGUAGACAAUGCUCCCAUCAGUGCUGGAACUGGCCCCGGUAACUUGCUUUAGCUGAUGGAAUGUUACCAAACACAACAUGAUCAAAGGCUUGAGAGAUGAUUUCCCUCCUGUGCUUCCGCAAUUACCAUGAAAAGAACAUGGCCUGGUGGUCCCUGAUCCCCAAAGAAUGACGGACACCUGGAAAAAGCUUGGAGUAACAGAUUCAUGAGCAAGAAUAAAUAAUUAUUGUUUUAAU
Molecule: long non-coding RNA, 488 nt
Filed under: Homo sapiens (human)
Lineage: Eukaryota; Metazoa; Chordata; Mammalia; Primates; Hominidae
Description: HSALNT0144574
Source: RNAcentral